UACGGGGGGGGCAAGCGUUGUUCGGAAUUACGGGGCGUAAAGGGCUCGUAGGCGGCCAACUAAGUCGGACGUGAAAUCCCCAGGCUCAACCUGGGAACUGCGUCCGAUACUGGAUGGCUUGAAUUCGGGAGAGGGAUGCAGAAUUCCAGGUGUAGCGGUGAAAUGCGUAGAUAUCUGGAGGAAUACCGGUGGCGAAGGCGGCAUCCUGGACCGACAUUGACGCUGAGGAGCGAAAGCUAGGGGAGCAAACGGG
This 253-nucleotide ribosomal RNA is filed under the name uncultured bacterium. RNAcentral's name for it is "partial 16S ribosomal RNA". It matches the Rfam family "Bacterial small subunit ribosomal RNA", at positions 524 to 776 of the family's 1533-position model. The record is from RNAcentral.